This 213-nucleotide long non-coding RNA is filed under the name Lathyrus oleraceus (garden pea). RNAcentral's name for it is "Pisum sativum (pea) long non-coding RNA (PSAT_LNC018499)". The record is from RNAcentral. Lineage: Eukaryota; Viridiplantae; Streptophyta; Magnoliopsida; Fabales; Fabaceae.
AUGAACAACAAGGCAAACACAAGCAGGAAAAGUUAUGGGCAUGGUUUGGUUGUAGCAGCAUCAAUUUCAUCUUCAUGUUCAUCAUUAGCAUCAAACAGCAAACACACAAUCAUGGGAGUUUCUAGUCAUGGUUCAUGGUUCAAAUAACAGCAGCAUUGGCAUUUGCAGCAUCACUUUCAUGUUAUCAUCAUCAUAAAACAAAGUAGAGCAAGC